UAUGAGAAGAUUAUUCUAAUGGCUUAUUCUAAUGGGAGCCAUUUUCUUCUGUCGAAGAUGCUCCACUCACAGUGCAUCGUGGACAGCAAGGGUCUUCACAUGGACUGCAGCAUUGUGGACAGCAAAGAUGCCUCUUCCAAUAUAUUUCUUUAUUGCAUGCGUGUGUAAUAUGAUGUAUAUAAAUAUCUGCUGCUAUUGCAGCAGGUGGUGUGAGAGAAAAUAUUCAAUCCAUUUUUAAUAGUACCAUCACAACUCUGGGAUAUGGAGAUAAGAGCUUUUCGACUCAAGCAGGGCGUGUUUUUGCAGUAUUCUGGAUAUUGACAGGUACCAUUUGUUUAGCUCAGUUUUUCCUCUACAUUGCCGAGCUAAAUGCCCAGAGCAGACAACGGGCAUUAGUAAAGUUGAUUCUUACUCGUAGGAUGGCCAACGUAGAUUUGGAGGCAGCUGAUCUUGACGAUGAUGGCUCUGUUGGGGCUGCUGAAUUUGUCAUAUACAAGCUCAAAGAGAUGGGGAAGAUUAGCCAGGAAGAUAUUAGACUUGUAAUGGAGGAGUUUGAAGAUCUUGAUGUUGAUCAGUCAGGAACGUUGUCAACAUCAGAUAUAAUGCUUUCGCAAUAACCUCAAAUCAAGAAGUAACUCUGGCAUCAUGCUCUGAGUAUUCUGAGAGGUGUCUUUGUAAGUUCGUGAUUUGUAUGAUUGCUGACGCUUUCUGUGAUGUGAAUUUCUUUACUAUGUCCAACAUAUCUCUUCCUACAUAAAGACUAGGUUAAAAUGGUUCUGUUCUUUA
Molecule: non-coding RNA, 786 nt
Organism: Malus domestica (apple)
Lineage: Eukaryota; Viridiplantae; Streptophyta; Magnoliopsida; Rosales; Rosaceae
Source: RefSeq, a predicted model, not a curated record